CCUACGGGUGGCAGCAGUGAGGAAUAUUGGUCAAUGGGCGCGAGCCUGAACCAGCCAAGUAGCGUGAAGGAUGAAGGCCCGACGGGUUGUAAACUUCUGUUAUAAAGGAAUAAAGUGAGGCACGUGUGCCUUUUUGUAUGUACUUUAUGAAUAAGGAACGGCUAACUCCGUGCCAGCAGCCGCGGUAAUACGGAGGAUCCGCGCGUUAUCCGGCUUUAUUGGGGUUAAAGGGAGCGUAGAUGGGUUGUUAAGGCCGUUGUGAACGUUUGCGGCUCAACCGUAAAAUGGCAAUUGAUACUGGCAGUCUUGCGUACAGUUGAGGUAGGCGGAAUUCGUGGUGUAGCGG
Molecule: ribosomal RNA, 346 nt
Filed under: uncultured bacterium
Lineage: Bacteria
Description: partial 16S ribosomal RNA
Rfam family: Bacterial small subunit ribosomal RNA
Source: RNAcentral